ACGAACGCUGGCGGCGUGCUUAACACAUGCAAGUCGAGCGGUAAGGCCCUUUCGGGGGUACGACGAGCGGCGAACGGGUGAGUAACACGUGGGUGACCUGCCCUCAGCUCUGGGAUAAGCCUGGGAAACCGGGUCUAAUACUGGAUAUGACUCCAUGACGCAUGUUGUGGGGUGGAAAGCCUUGUGCGGCUGAGGAUGGGCCCGCGGCCUAUCAGCUUGUUGGUGGGGUGANGGCCUACCAAGGCGACGACGGGUAGCCGGCCUGAGAGGGCGACCGGCCACACUGGGACUGAGACACGGCCCAGACUCCUACGGGAGGCAGCAGUGGGGAAGUCUUGCGCAAUGGGCGAAAGCCUGACGCAGCGACGCCGCGUGAGGGAUGACGGCCUCGGUUGUAAC
This 399-nucleotide ribosomal RNA is filed under the name uncultured bacterium. RNAcentral's name for it is "bacterial SSU rRNA". It matches the Rfam family "Bacterial small subunit ribosomal RNA", at positions 29 to 429 of the family's 1533-position model. The record is from RNAcentral.